UCCAAAAAUAGUCCGCCAACAAGAUUGACCCGAGAGCAACACAAACACAAUUCACGGCUAACAUAUUCAUUUUGAACCUCGGCUUCCUCUCCAUCUUGAGUUUUGGCUUCAAUCUUAUCCGACUCAAGUUUUCUUCCAUCAUAUAAGCAUUGUCGUAGGAUCCAUAUCCUUCAUAUCCCUCUCUACCAUGUUCCUCUUCUUGGAUGUGUAGGCUUAGGCAAAGUGGAGUUUCGAUUGAGAGGAUUGAUUUGGUAAAGUGGACUGUUUUAGUAAUGUGGAGGUUCGGUUGUGAAGCUUGGAUGGAAGGAAAUUGGCUUACAAGUCCUUAUUGUUGGAUUUUAUCAACUAGCGGGGGGAGGGGUCUACCUUGUUCUCGGUUUUGUGGGUAAUUUGUAGCUUGGCUUAUGACAUUUUGUGGUGAACUUGGAGGAUUGGCUUUUGUAGGUAAAGUUUUGGGAGUAAAAGCAUGAGAGUUCCUUCGUCUCUCCAUUCAAUCCAACCGCUCACCCAUAGUUACCACAUUCGAGUAAAUGUUUUCAAGACCCACAUUUUCCCUAACAAAGACUCUGGACAUAGCAUCAACGAGGACCAAAAUGGUGUCCAUUAUGCCAAAGGAGUUACCUACAAAAACAGAAAACACAUUAGUUGUACAAAAACAUCCCCACUCUCUCUUAUUAUUUCUUGACUCUUGGAUCCUCACAGUUAAUCUCACAAAUGUUGCAAGCUUGCUUGUACUUCGAGUGAUGUUGAGAGGUGAAUCUAACGUUGACAAGGACUCCAAGGAGUAAGGAAAACACAAAGACGUAUUACAAUGACUCAAAGAAUUAAAACACACAAAGAAAAGUUAACACGAAGAAUGGUUUCAAAACUAACUCACAAUCUAGUACUAGCUUGUAAAUUAGAUUUAGAAUCAACAAACGAAACUAAUGACACAAAAUGAAACUAAAAGAUCAAAAAUUGAGCUUAAAAUUUGUUGGUGAACAGUAAUUUGUGAUGUGGCAGUCCGUGAUUGGCCUCGAUUCUCAACAAUUUUAUUUUCCAAAUUGGAAAGUCUUGAUCAAUUUUUACAAUUUUCACUUUACUGUAACUUGUUCCAUGAAGGCAAACACAAACUAGUCUUUGGAGUUUCUUUUUCAAUUCAAAUUUCAAGACUCAAAAGUAUUGGACUAGAAUUGUACUCCUCCUUAAAACAUGGAUCGUUGUUUUAUGGGAAAGUGGUUGACAUGUGAUUGACUAAUUGGUGAGUGAUGGCAAGUCUUUCAAGACUAAAAAAGUUGUUACACUUUUCCUUCACCUUUUGGGGUCUAACUUUCACUUUAUUUUAACAAGGUAUGAAGGAUUGGAAGAAAAUCAAAAACACUUCAACAAUCACCAAUAAAAUAAACAACAAUCUCUCAAGACAACAAGGUCAACUACAAAAUUCCAACAAACGGCCAUGUACUUUAGUGUGGUAUUUUGGUCUUAACAAGGGGUGAAGAUUGUGAUGAACAACAAGAAUACAACAAAUUUUCAAGAACAAUAACAACACCAACAACGUCCUGCACAAGUCCACAAGAAAGGUCACUACACGACCAAGAAUAACAACAUCAACUUCUUUUGGAAAGGCUCUGAUAUCAAACAAUACGGGAAAGACAACAGAAGGCUCAAAAACUACUCAAAAUAGUCCACAAAUCAACUAGAACCUGAGGACCACUUUGAGAGCAACUUUUAGCCAAUAAUAACAACACAAGGAUUACAAGAUACAAGGUGUAUUUUAACACCAAAACAGCAACAAUGACACAAGAUGAAACAAUUCACGGAUUCAACACAAACACAAGGGAAAUUGCAUAGAAAAUAAAGAUAGAUAGUGAGACCAAGAUUAUUACAAGAUUAAGAACCAAGUGUAUUUCAACACUAACCCCUAAUGAAUGUAACAAUCAAAACCACACUCUUACGGUGACCACCUACGGAAUGAACUCACCUCAAGACCAACCAUUUCCAAGCAAAGAUCAAUAUUGGCUUUUCCAAUCCCUAUGCUAAGGAUGACUUUUCCAAGCCUUACAACUAAAGGUGUUACACUCUCAAAAGAGAGAAAAUAUGUCUUUCAAUACUUCAUCAUUCAAAAUCUGCCCAAGUUUCCAUCAUGACUAUUUUCAUAGCCUUCGCAAUCUCCCUCAACUUCGUAGCCAUAAAACCCCUCACUACAACCAUAGUCUCCCAUGUUGUAGUCACAAUAAUCCCCGGCUAUCGAAGACAUAUUCCCCUUAUAUCACCUUUUGAACCUUCAAAAUGAACAAACAAGAUUAGUAGUAAAGCUCCUCACCAACACUCAUAUUCACUCACUUUUGUGAUCCUCACAAUUUGGAGCGGCGAAUAUUGAAAGUUGCUUAUACUCCGGUAGUCAAUAGGAUAUCAAUUCUACUUGGCGGCCGGAAUAUAUUCUUGUUUGAUCGACUCAAAACAAAAAGCAAAAUCUACUUAAGAACUUGAAACAAAGAAGUUACUACGAGUUAAAAAUGAGAAAAGCACACAAAUAUCGAAGACACGAAGAAACGGACUCAACAACUAAUCUACAACUAAGUAGGUGACUAAUAGUUGCUAAUUAGUAUUAGAACCAACAACGAAACUAAGGGACGGUAAAAAAAUGCAACUAAGAAUCUAAAAGUUUAAGCUAGAAAAUAUUGUGUGAACAGUAGUAGUGAUGAUGUGACAGCCACGUAUUGGUUCAGUUUUAUCAAGUCUUAAUCACUAUUCUUGAAAUUUUUAUUCAUUAUAAUUUUG
RNAcentral lists this long non-coding RNA (2760 nucleotides) under Capsicum annuum. RNAcentral describes it as "long non-coding RNA (CANN_LNC007429)". Lineage: Eukaryota; Viridiplantae; Streptophyta; Magnoliopsida; Solanales; Solanaceae. The record is from RNAcentral.